GGCUGGUCCAAAGGUACAGAGUUAUCUUGAUUGUUCACAGUCAGUUAAAGAUCAAACUCCUUUUCUACUCUUUUCCCCACUCUCAUUCCUGCACUUGACUAGUCUUAA
This 108-nucleotide Y RNA is filed under the name Saimiri boliviensis boliviensis (Bolivian squirrel monkey). Its description in RNAcentral is "Y RNA (ENSSBOG00000011847.1)". It matches the Rfam family "Y RNA". Rfam says of the family: Y RNAs are components of the Ro ribonucleoprotein particle (Ro RNP), in association with Ro60 and La proteins. The Y RNAs and Ro60 and La proteins are well conserved, but the function of the Ro RNP is not known. Lineage: Eukaryota; Metazoa; Chordata; Mammalia; Primates; Cebidae. The record is from Rfam by way of RNAcentral.